GAAAUGACAAAUACAAGCAGCUUUCCAUUAGUAGAUAACCUUAAAAAAUUGCUCAUCCAACUGAAAUUGGAAAUUUGCGUAGUAAAUUUAUAAGGCUUUAUGUAACAUAAAAGCUAACUAACUUUGAGUCUACUCUAACCCAAUCAGAACAUGGUUGUCUUAGAAUUCAUCUUAUUCUAAGCCUCAAGCAUAAUGUUGUUGGAUUGGUUUUGUUUUUUCUUUUUUUUCAGAUGCCUUUAAAAUUUCAGUCUACUGUUCUAUUCUUUAGUGGUACAAACCCUAAAGUGAAACAGCUGCUAGGAGUUCUUACACAUAUCCCACUGCUCAACAGCCUCAUUUCAGAUGGAAAAGAGUGUCUGAGAGCUUCUUAGACAUCUAAGCUACCAAGAUAACAAGAGAAACUUGUUCCACACCAAUUCCUUACUUCUAGUCAGGAUAUCACUACUGUGAGUCUAUGCAUUUUCUACUGUUUUCUCACUGUUACAGCUUCCUUAUGCUGCAGUAGUGUCUGGGAAAUAAAGGGCAGCAUUUGCUGAUUUCUGUA
Long non-coding RNA from Numida meleagris (helmeted guineafowl), 544 nucleotides. RefSeq lists it as uncharacterized. NCBI's taxonomy places the organism in Eukaryota, Metazoa, Chordata, Aves, Galliformes, Numididae. The transcript is spliced from 2 exons. The record is from RefSeq and is a predicted model, not a curated record.